AACAAUCGCUAUUGGCCUUAUUUCCAGAACUGCAUUGGUGCUAUAGAUGGAACACAUAUCCCCAUCACUAUUGCUGAAGAUAAGGCCCCCCCAUUUAGGAAUAGGAAAGGAGCCCUCUCACAGAAUGUCAUGGUUGCAUGUGAUUUUCAUCUGAAUUUCACAUUUAUUUCAUGUGGGUGGGAAGGAUCUGCAUCAGAUGCAGGAGUUCUUCGUUCUGCUAUUAGCAAGGGGUUUCAUGUGCCAGAUGGAAAAUUUUAUCUCGUAGAUGGUGGAUAUGCCAACACGCCUUCUUUUCUUGCACCAUAUCGAGGAGUUCGGUAA
Molecule: ribosomal RNA, 321 nt
Filed under: Triticum aestivum (bread wheat)
Lineage: Eukaryota; Viridiplantae; Streptophyta; Magnoliopsida; Poales; Poaceae
Description: partial small subunit ribosomal RNA
Source: RNAcentral